UACCUUUAUUCUCUCUGUAUGAUAAUUUCUAUGUUUGCAGAUCUUUCCAAUGUUGCUGUGGUAGUGAUUAUAAAUGAGAUAGCAGUAUUGCAUACGUAUGUGUCUGGAUAUCAAAGAGGCUUCAUCAGUCCAUGUACGAUGAUAUUUUGAAUUUGAUAUUAUAUAAAAGUACCAAACAAAAACGUAUGAUGGUUGAAAUCCCGAAACAUCUCAAUACAUACUACAAUUUUGUCGGAAUUGUUUGAGGUAAAAAGUGGAAUUUCUUUCUUUCUUUGAAUUGUAGCCUGUAAGAUUGGGUAUUUCGGGAGAGAUUGUACACAGUAAUGCUCCUUCCUCUUCUUGGGAAAGGGAUGUCAGUUAUCGUAGAUUAGGGUAAUCAUGCAAAAGGAUGCCCAAUAAAGGUGUAAGAAAGAGUAAUUAUCAAAAUAUAUGAAACUUAGAAACAACAUGGAAUAUUGCACAAUGAUUAUCGUAAAAAAGAUUUACUUGUUUAGGUUUCAGAUUGUACCUCAGGUUACAUUGUAUGUAGUUGACUUUUGUGAAGUUAAUACAUUUCUUCUCUAUCAUACAUGUACUAAUUUGUGCCUACUUCUAUGUAACAAGUAAAUGAAUAUGCUUUACAACUAACGAAAUAAAACGGUCAUUUAAAAGUAAAUAGAAAUUAAGGAUACAAUGACGUGUUAAAGCAAUUCUGAAAGAUAUUGUCACGGAAGUGGUAACAACGCCUGCUCCAAAGUCCAGGAUGACCCUUAACAUUUUCGUAUCACUGCUGAUGUCCAAGGAAGACUUCCAUCAUGAGACACUUCACCUGUUCUAUCUACGAUUCGAGAGAUGCAGAAAGAUUGUCCGUCAGGCUAUGUAGGGGAUGUUUGUGACUUGAAAUGCCGGUAUCCAAGUUUUUGUACGGACUGUCAGAAUAAAUGUUUGUGUGAACAGGAGACGUGUGAUCCAGCAAAUGGAUGCCAAGGUGGGAAGUAUUAUUAUUACAAAUAUUUAUGUAUGUUACCUGUGCUUAACAAGGAAAUUUAUACUUUACAACUUACAAAAUGAAAACAAAUAUUUCUUUAAAAGUAAAUAGAAAUAAAGUAUACAAUGAUGUGAUGCAAUUUUGGAAGAUAUUGUCAUGGAAGUGGUAACAACACCUGAUGCAAUGUCCAGGAUGACCCAUGGUAUCUCCGUGUCACCAAGACAUGAUGCUGACAUUGACACUUCAACUUUUCUAUCAAGGACUACAAUCUCGCAGAAACGUAAAGAAAACAAAAAUAAAAUACAAUGCUCGUUUACACAAAUGGGCAAUCACUUUACUUCGAAUCAGCUCAGUAUUCAAACUAAAUUACAGCAAAAUAAAAUUACACUGUGAUCACACGGAGAAUAUUGUCUGGCGUGUUUUAUAAUAAUUGUUAGAUCGUUCUCUGAAAGGUGAUUUUGACUAUGGAUUAUUUCUUUUGCUGAUCAAGAUGUAGGGCUCACAACGAGUGUGACCCGUUGACAGAAGAUAUAUACUCCUCCUAGGCACCUGAUCGCACCUCUUGUAUAUCCAGGGGUCUAUGUUUACACAAGUUUUGAUUUUGUAUUUCUGAUAGGAGCUAUGAGAUUUAUUACUGUUCGUUAUCUUCACGUUUUUAUGAUAUGUGCUACACCGAUCCAGAUUCAAUUCUUUUGUCAUCCUCGAUAUGAGAAAGAGAUAACUUGCUAGGAAAGAAAGGACAUCGUUAGUUUUGAGUGUUCUUCUAUUUGGAUCUUCUAAACAAUCUGGCUGAAAUGUGUUGAUCUAGAAAAAACAAAACAAAAUAGAAGGUCAACACAACCCUUAAAUGUUCAGAACAAAUUAACCAAAUUCUAAGUUGGUUUGUAUAUUAUUCGAAUCAUAUUGAUAAGCUUUAAAUUUUAUUAGAAUAUUAGUGCUGCUCUGUCAAAAUACAAGCGUUAGUAUAGUUGUUUGUUUGUGUUUCCAUGGAUCGUUGUUUUACGGAAAACUAAAAUCAUAAAGAAUUUUAAGAUUGCAAUGUUCAAUUUUUUAAAAAAAGAAUCGAGAUAGCAAAUAUCCAUUUUAAACUACACAUUGGGUGAGAUUUUACAAAUUAAAAAAAAAAAUCAUCCAUGUACCUUUGAGUUGAAUGAAAUGUUAGAUGUUUGCAAUAUCAGAUAAAAAUGGAAUUACAAAAAAAUCAUGAUUUAUUUUUAUUUUUGGUAGAUUACUGAAAACCCGCUAUUGUAAGUACUUUAGACAAGAUUUGCACUCUGCCUGUAAACAAAGAUGAUUAACUAUGUAUCGUUUUGUAUGCUCUAGCCUCCGAUUUUGAUGCUUUAGUUUAGUCGGUCAUAUAAUAAAAGAAUGUUGUCCAUUUACGUAGAAAGUCAAUUCAACAAGUGUACUGCCCCAAAGUGAGUGAAGUCAGUGAUUAAGCUAUUCGCGACGGAUCACGGAAUAUUGUUAGAUAAAUAUGAGACGUUGACGAUGGAGAGACUGAAAUCAUCCCAUGUGUCAUAGACUUGACCUGUCAGUUUCCCUUUUGACAUCUAUUUCAAUAAACUAUCCAAAUAUGAAGAUGUGAAAGUCGUUGUGGUGUCUUGUAUUUCGAGUUUACCUGGAUAUAUCGAAUCUACAAACGUCAAUACAAAGUCACGCUGCAUCAAUGCGGGAAAAUUUGAACGAGAAGGAAAGAGUCAUGGUUGUCAGCAUUACGAGGCUAGGACUACUGUUUCUUAUCUUGACAGCUAUUUAUAUCUGGGUAUCUCAUCGCAUUCAUGUAGAAACAAAGAAUCGUGGCAAAGUAAUAGAAUAUUUAGAUAAGAACUCUGCAAUAUGAAGAACGGUUGAUCUGUUGUUACAAAGUGCAGUGUAUCUGGACAUGGUGUGUAAUGUCUGUUUUUGUAUUUACCUAUGUUUUGUAAUUGAGAGACUUUUCAUACUUUAUUAUGUAUAAUUGUAUAUGUAAUCUGUGA
This is a long non-coding RNA of Ostrea edulis (European flat oyster), 2946 nucleotides long. RefSeq lists it as uncharacterized. The transcript has 3 exons. Lineage: Eukaryota; Metazoa; Mollusca; Bivalvia; Ostreida; Ostreidae. The record is from RefSeq and is a predicted model, not a curated record.